UUUGUGGCAUCACUUGAAAAGUGUCUCCUUAUAUAUUAUAAAUAUCACUUAUAAAGCGUAGCCUUAGCUUAAGAGCUAUGGGUUCACUUUUUCUACCAAAGAGAACGUUUUUGAAAGGUAGCCUAUUUGUCAUACUUCAUGUGCACUUUAAAAGUAUUGCCUAAUGUAUCUAAAACCAAAUAUAAACCAAGACUUAGUAAAUUUUUAUCCCCUUUUCACCAACACUUAAACGUGACCUGGCUUCCUUUCUCCCUUUUCCCCUUCACGUGCCAUUGAGCUUCACUGAAAAUCAGAGAAAGGUCCCCCUCACGCCGUCACUCAUCAUCUUUUUCCCCUCUUCCCCACGCCGUCACUCAUCACCCUCACGCCGUCACCGUCACCCCUCUUCCCCGCUCCCCACUCCCAACUCACCACUCACGCACACCACUUCGCUACUGGAGAAUCAUCGCUCCUCUUCAUCCUUCUGCUCUGGCUGUCACUUCGAGCUCACCAUCGGGAAGAACCGCGUUCAUCCUCUCUUCGCUCAUCGUCAUCGAGAAGGGGUGUUCUCAAGAACAGGGCUAUUAUAAUGGCAUGUGUGUGCAACAGUGCUACUCUAUGAAUUUGCUUCAGCUUGCGUUUUGCUUACUCUG
This is a non-coding RNA of Arachis ipaensis, 632 nucleotides long. The record is from RefSeq and is a predicted model, not a curated record. NCBI's taxonomy places the organism in Eukaryota, Viridiplantae, Streptophyta, Magnoliopsida, Fabales, Fabaceae.